This 508-nucleotide small RNA is filed under the name Pan troglodytes (chimpanzee). Its description in RNAcentral is "retained intron". Lineage: Eukaryota; Metazoa; Chordata; Mammalia; Primates; Hominidae. The record is from RNAcentral.
CAGGUACCUGCACAUGCUGUUCUUUGUCAGUGCUGUCAAGUGUGUGCCAGGGUGAUCCAUGGUCACUUUCCGGGAUGGCAGCAAGGUGACUUCGGCUGAGGAUGACCCUGACUGAAAGGCUGCGUGAGAAGAUAUCUCGGGCCUUCUACAACCAUGGGCUCCUCUGUGCAUCCUAUCCCAUCCCCAUCAUCCUCUUCACGGGGUUCUGCAUCUUAGCCUGCUGCUACCCACUGCUGAAACUCCCCUUGCCAGGAACAGGACCUGUGGAAUUCACCACCCCUGUGAAGGAUUACUCGCCCCCACCUGUGGACUCUGACCGCAAACAAGGAGAGCCUACUGAGCAGCCUGAGUGGGUGGGUACUCGUCAUGUUCCUGAGGCCAGCACAGAGCAUUGGGUGGAGACUGGCUGAGGCAGGGGUCUGCCAGUGAGAUUGAGGUUGGUCAGCUUCUGAUUUGUGAAUUCAUGUACUUUAACAGCUUUAUCAGUGUACCAUAUAGAUACUUAGUU